AUGCAAGCACGGUCGAUUGAUAACCAGGGGACCUACAUUGCUAGAAUGGCUGCUAGGACGGUGCUAGAUGAGCUGAAUGUGCGGCGGGGCACGCCAUCGUUGGUGGCGCCGGCGCGGGCGACGCCACGGCAGAGCAUGGCGUUGUCGGACAUCGACAACCAGCCAGUCAUGUGGUUCUACAGCACCGUGAUCCACCUCUACCGAGGCGACCCGUCCAAGGGGCUCAUCGACCCGGCGUUGGCCGUGCGCGCUGCGCUGGCGGAGGCGCUGGUGCACUACUACCCGAUGGCCGGUCGGCUGCGCGAGGAGGCCGGCCGGAAGCUGGUUGUGGACUGCGCUGGGCAGGGCGUCAUGUUCGUGGAGGCCGACACGGACAUCGCCAUCGAUGAUCUCGGCGACGUGCGGUACCCGCCGUUCCCGCGCUCCGAGGAGUUCAUCUACGACGACCACGUCUACAAGGCGCCCCCGCCUGGCGUGCCGCUAGUGCUAGCUGCAAUCAUCAACCAGCCCCUGCUCUACGUCCAGGUGACACGGCUCAAGUGCGGAGGCUUCACCGUCUGCCACCAGAGCGCCCACUGCAUCAGCGACGCCGCCGGCUUGGCGCAGUUCUGGAAGGCAGUCGGCGAGCUCGCCCGCGGCGCCAGCGCGCCGUCCAUGCCGCCCGUAUGGACCAGGGAGAUUUUCAACGCGCGGCAGCCGCCACUCCCUAGCUUCCCUCACGACGAGUACCGGGAGCCUACGGACGUUUGCGACGGCGACCGGAUCGCAUCCACGCCACAGCGCGACAUGGCGCGCGUCCAGUUCUCCUUCGGGCCGGGGGCCAUCGCCGCGCUGCGCAGCCGGGCCGCGCCGGGAGCGGCAUCGGCGUCUCAGUUCGACCUGGUGGCCGCCUGCGUGUGGCGGAGCCGCACUGCGGCGCUCGGCUACGCGUCCGGGGACGAGGUGCAGCUGAUGAUGGCGGUGAACGCGCGCGGCCGGCGCAUGGACGUGUUCGGCCGCGAGAUCCCCGCCGGAUACUAUGGCAACGCGUUCGCCUUCACUGUGGCGCGCUGCGCUGCCGGGGAGCUGUGCGGCCGCGACCUUGGCUACGCGGUGGGGCUCAUCAGGGCGGCCAAGGCGAGGGUGACGUACGAGUACAUGCGGUCGGUGGCGGACUUGAUGGUGCUGGAGGGCCAUCCUGUGAUCGCGAGGAAGCGCACGUUCGGCGUGUCGGACCUCAGCCAUGCCGGGUUCGACGAGGCCGAGUUCGGGUGGGGAAAGCCCGUCUAUUCAGGCGUCACCACGGACGCCCACCGCGGCGCCACCUUCUUCAUCCGAGGCAAGAACGAAAAGGGCGAGGGCGAGACGUUCGUCGGCAUCUACCUCCCAGCAGACUGCACGGGAAGGUACCGGAAGGAGGUUUUGGCCCUCACCACCAAGCUAGAGCCGCUUAUGGAGAAAGCAUCGUCAGCUCCACUUGCCCCGCGAGCCCGCUAUUAA
RNAcentral lists this ribosomal RNA (1479 nucleotides) under Triticum aestivum (bread wheat). RNAcentral's name for it is "partial small subunit ribosomal RNA". The record is from RNAcentral. Lineage: Eukaryota; Viridiplantae; Streptophyta; Magnoliopsida; Poales; Poaceae.